UUUUUUUAGCUCGUAGUUUAAUUCCCAACUAUGGUUUCGUGAAGUCAGAACGCCCCGUUAAGCAUUUUUUCUGCCUCGCCACCAACAGCUUUCUCUCUGAUUGCCGCCCCACCUCCUCGUCCUCCUCUUCCUCUGACUGGCGGUGCACCCUCCAAGUCCCACCAUAGCUGCUGCCUCGCCCACCUUCUCGAUCGGUGAAUCCUCCACCGACAACUCUGUCUACCUCGUCUACGAGAACCCUAGCUUCGACCUGCUCGCCUCCUGGAUCGAUCUCGCGCAUCCGGAUCGCGGUCAACAUUGCCCAAGGCGUUCGCUACUACUCUUCCUCCACCGCCGGCGUCCACAACAGGAUCAUUAGCUCCGCCAUCAUAAUCACCGAAGCGCGACCUCCGCGCCAAGAUCUGCCAUUUCGGCGCCGCAGAUCUCGCCGGAGAGGCCCUCAUUCCAGUCGACAAAAUCGGGAACACCUCCCAAAUUCCCUCGCAAGGACUGCGGGUGUGGCAGAGGCACGUCACGGGCAGGGUGGGAUAAUGGCGCCGGCCGUCUCCCGUCGAUCGGGCGUAUUCUCCUUUGGGAUAUGAUCCCGGAGCUCCUCUUCGGAAAGCAGCCGCUCAAUUAUCAGUACCGCGGGGAUCGGAAAGAUUUCGAGGUGGCGUUCAGUUCCUCAUCGAAACGGAACGGGAGGCGAUGAGGCCGGACGGGGAGAAGGAGCGUGAGGGGCGGGUAAGACGGUUAGAAGAUCUGUGGUUGAGGGACUUAUUCCCGGCGGAUGCAGCGGAGAAGCUGGCGCUGGUGGCGACGAAGAUGUACCUAGAAUCGAAGGCGUGGCCGGAACCUUUCGGUGUCGGUGGCUGAGCGGUGAGAGUAAGCGAGCGCUGACGCGACUGAAGCCGACGGGACUCGGACCGGUUGUAUCGGCAAUAUCCAGCAGUGGUGCUCAACAUUGCACUCGAAAUGGCAAAGCGGCUCCUCUACCAUCUCGAUUUGCAGGAUGAGUCCUCUAGGGAAGGAAGACUGGUAGGGAAUGUUUGAUUUGGUGACAAAUCUAAGCGAAUUGCUGUCUUUUCGGUUCAAGAUGUGACAAGGGAAUGAUCAAGCUUAGGGACAGUCUUUCCGAAGCAAAACAACAUAAAGAUCCAGGUACUCCAACUAAACCCAUCACUGAAAUUCUAAGUAGAACCCAGAUCAGAAUUACCUAAAGCAUAGCAAUAUCCGGCAAAUUUAUCUCCGAUCACAGAUGUGAUAGCCAUUAUUAUGCCUUGAAGGGAGGUGCUGAAGAGCCUGUCAAUCUCUGAUGAUGGAACAAGAAUCUCAGAUCUGAUAGAGAAAUGAAAACUUAGUAACCACAUACUGAAAUAUUUGCGAAUGAGGUUCACUAACUUUAUUGACCAUUUCAGUUGAUUGAAAUCCUCCAACCAAGAAAUCAUCUUUGGUUCGACAUUCUCUGUUUCUCAGCUUUAAGAAGCAUCUUCACUCGUGGAAAAGUUUCACAAGCUGUUCAAUUCCAGAGGAGACGCUGCUCCUACUCGUUCAGAGAAGUUGUUCUUUCUCGCUCGGAGAAGUUGUUCUAAGCCUUCAUUUGCUUCCUUUAGUGGUGACUGUUGAUCAAAGGACAAGCUUUGUAUUCCUUGUCUUGUUGCAACUUGAUUCUCUUUCAAUCAAACCAACAAUGACAAACAUCCCCAUCAA
This is a long non-coding RNA of Zingiber officinale, 1689 nucleotides long. RefSeq lists it as uncharacterized. The record is from RefSeq and is a predicted model, not a curated record. The transcript has 4 exons. NCBI's taxonomy places the organism in Eukaryota, Viridiplantae, Streptophyta, Magnoliopsida, Zingiberales, Zingiberaceae.